AAGUCGUAACAAGGUUUCCGUAGGUGAACCUGCGGAAGGAUCAUUAACGAAGAUAAAUUUCGGUGGGCAGCUGCUGGCCUUUGGGCAUUUGUGCACGCCUGUCAUCUUUAUUCUUUCUUUCCACCUGUGCACCAUUUGUAGGCUUGAACAAAGCAUUUGGCCUUCGGGUCAGCGUUGGGGACUGGUCGGUUGACCUCUCCCCUACCGUUUCAAGUCUAUGUUUUCACACCUUACACCAUUAUUAAACCUAGAAUGCAUUUACGGGCCUAAGUGUGCCUAUAGAAACACUAUACAACUUUCAGCAACGGAUCUCUUGGCUCUC
RNAcentral lists this unclassified non-coding RNA (322 nucleotides) under air metagenome. RNAcentral describes it as "partial contains small subunit ribosomal RNA, internal transcribed spacer 1, and 5.8S ribosomal RNA". The stretch from base 1 to 46 matches the Rfam family "Eukaryotic small subunit ribosomal RNA", at positions 1786 to 1831 of the family's 1831-position model. The record is from RNAcentral.